RNAcentral lists this long non-coding RNA (706 nucleotides) under Equus caballus (horse). RNAcentral describes it as "lncRNA (ENSECAG00000048521.1)". The record is from RNAcentral. Lineage: Eukaryota; Metazoa; Chordata; Mammalia; Perissodactyla; Equidae.
CAGAUUCUGUGUCUGGUGAGGCCCACUCUCCGGUUCAUAGAUGGCUGUCUUUUCACUGUGUCCUCAGAUGAUGGAAGGGGUGAGGGAUCUCUCUGGGGCUUCUUUUAUAAGAGGACUAAUCCUAUUUGUGAGGGGUCCACCCUCAUGACCUAAUCACGUCUCAAAGGCCCCAUCUCCAAAUACCAUCACAUUGCAGAUUAGGUUUCAACCUAUGAAAUUGGGGGGAACACAUUCAGUCUAUAGCAACUACUGUUACAUUGUUUUCUAACAUUAGACCAUUAAUCCAUUUGUUUAUCCAACUAAUUUUAUUUUUUGUAUUUUGAUUAGAUGCCAGGCUCUGUGCUGGGAAGAAGAAAUUCAGAGAUGAGCCUUGGGACUUGGACUGAAAUUUAUAUCACUGGCUUUCCUGCAUGUCCAGCUUGCAGAUGGCAGAUCAUGAGACUUCUGAGCCUCCAGAAUCGCAAAUUAAAAAAAGUUAGGAGGAGAAGCACUUCUGGAGCGACAACAUGAGAAGCUCUGCUGACCCUCUUCCCAGUGAGACAACCAUGACUGUGAAAAUCAUUAAAAAAAAUGUUUAAGUCUCUGGAAAUUGUUCUACGGGCCCACAGCAAAUGGAGAAACGCUUAUUGAGGAAAAUCUAUUAAAUCUCAGCUAGAAGAUUGAGAGUUUGUGUCAUUUGAGUCAUGACCUAUUCCUCCCCAACCCC